CGGGCGGGAUUAGGAGCCUGUCUGCAUGCCCCCAAAGCACCGCGGCAUCUCUUCACCUCUGCACUCACCUGCCUUCUGUCCCACUGCAAGGACCUCAGGACAGGAACCAGGGUUUCCAGCCCAAGGCUGCGGCCCCACCCACCACCUAGCACAGUGCCUGGAAAGCACCAGUUUCAUGCUCCUCUGUCCUCGCUCAUCAGCGCUGGCGCAGCCGCCGAGUCUUCUAACCGGCCCCUGCCACGUGUGACAAGAGCUUCGGAGUCCUGGAAGGUGAAAUAGACGGGUUUUCGCCAGGAUGCCCAGGCUGGUCUUCAACUCCUGUACUCAAGCAAUCCACCCACCUCGGCCUCCCACAGUGCUGGGAUUACAAGUGUGAGCCACCACGCCCAGCAAAGACUGGAUUCUUGUCACUGGAAUAUAGAUGUAAGCAACAUACAUCACUUCCAUGCAAAGCUGGGCCCCAAAUCCUCCUGUGAGAUCCUCCACACACUCUAUCUUCCCUCAUUUCCUGGCUGGUUACAGAAGGUCUGGUGAAGGACUCUUGAGGCCCCUGGAAGAUGGUGACGCAUUUGGUGGAAGAAGUCUGAGUCCUCACAUCACAGCGGAAGGCCACCUACCAAACACCCCCUAUGACAGACCCAAGUGAGAAAUAACCUGAGGUCUCUAGUCUGAGUCCUCACAUCGCAGCAGAAGGCCACCUACCAAACACCCACCAUGACAGACCCAAGUGAGAAAAAGCCUGAGGUCUCCAGGAUCAUUUGCUGAUUACACAGAGAAACAAGCACCAGGAGUGUUCGUUGAGUAUCAGAUAGUUUCCAGUUCUGCCACUUGUGACCUUGGAGUUCUGCAGUGACCUCAGACAACUCACUGAACCUCACUGAACCUCUCGUCUGUCCACAGCGCCAUGGCCUCUCCUUAUCGUAAGGACCUUCCAGCUCCAUGACUCCGUUCGUGGGGGAACUGGGAUAGGAGAGUGUGGGCUGUGCCUAUAUGAACAGGGCUACUACGCCAUUUGGGGGCUCAACAGUCGUUGCAGGUAAUUGAUAACGCUCAUCUCAAGGCUUAUUUACCUCUAGGACAUUAGGGAGAAAAUCUGCCCUUCGGAAAUUCACUGUCAGCUUGCAUGGGGUAGAAGCCCCAUCAGAGCUGAAGGCGGUUUGCUGAGCUGUAGGCUGGUGGGGGGGAGUUGUGAGGCAGUGACGGGGCAGGAAGAUCAGCAUUUGGGGGGUGGUUCUUAAUUAGGAUCCAUCUUGAUUGCAGGCUCCAGCUGUUUGUUUUCCCUGUUUAACUACCCCGAACAGCUCCUCAGCACGCACUGAUUAAUUGAUUAAUAAAUCAAGAGGCCUCUUUACACUGCAGCAGCAAGGGGUGGCUCAGGAGGGAGACACUCAAGACAGCCAGACACAAUGAUGGGAAGCAAUGGGAGGUUCAGGUUGAGCGAGUCUGGUUGAGGAAGUGAUGCAAACCAUAUGAGGCCUGUCUCGAGGCGUCCUCCUCGAUGACAGGGCCAGAGAGUCUCUAAUCACAACUCAGAGCGUGUAGCAGGACCUGAAACGGCCCCUUAGGGGCUGUUCCAGAACAGAGCGUCACCUCAGUUUACAGAAAAACAGGUCCCAGAGGGUUAAAAGCGUGGACUAUGCCUAGAUUUCUUGACCACCAGUUCAUGAUUUUUCACUUUAAGCCAAAGAGCCAUAUCCAUCAAUAGAUUCCUAUUUUCCCACGGACACAGAAGGGUUCCAGCCCCAUGUUUUCACUAGGAAAUGUUCAUUCAUUCAAACGGGAUUUAUUUGGGCCCC
Molecule: long non-coding RNA, 1796 nt
Filed under: Homo sapiens (human)
Lineage: Eukaryota; Metazoa; Chordata; Mammalia; Primates; Hominidae
Description: HSALNT0025260
Source: RNAcentral